This 459-nucleotide ribosomal RNA is filed under the name uncultured bacterium. RNAcentral's name for it is "bacterial SSU rRNA". It matches the Rfam family "Bacterial small subunit ribosomal RNA", at positions 53 to 507 of the family's 1533-position model. The record is from RNAcentral.
ACAUGCAAGUCGAGCGGUAGAGAGGUGCUUGCAUCUCUUGAGAGCGGCGGACGGGUGAGUAAUGCCUAGGAAUCUGCCUAGUGGUGGGGGAUAACGUUCGGAAACGGACGCUAAUACCGCAUACGUCCUACGGGAGAAAGCGGGGGAUCUUCGGACCUCGCGCCAUUAGAUGAGCCUAGGUCGGAUUAGCUAGUUGGUGAGGUAAUGGCUCACCAAGGCGACGAUCCGUAACUGGUCUGAGAGGAUGAUCAGUCACACUGGAACUGAGACACGGUCCAGACUCCUACGGGAGGCAGCAGUGGGGAAUAUUGGACAAUGGGCGAAAGCCUGAUCCAGCCAUGCCGCGUGUGUGAAGAAGGUCUUCGGAUUGUAAAGCACUUUAAGUUGGGAGGAAGGGUAGUAACCUAAUACGUUGCUACUUUGACGUUACCGACAGAAUAAGCACCGGCUAACUUCGUG